This 585-nucleotide ribosomal RNA is filed under the name Falcaustra ararath. RNAcentral describes it as "SSU rRNA". It matches the Rfam family "Eukaryotic small subunit ribosomal RNA", at positions 409 to 1000 of the family's 1831-position model. Lineage: Eukaryota; Metazoa; Nematoda; Chromadorea; Rhabditida; Kathlaniidae. The record is from RNAcentral.
ACCACAUCCAAGGAAGGCAGCAGGCGCGCAAAUUACCCACUCUCGGCACGAGGAGGUAGUGACGAAAAAUAACGAGACCGUUCUCUAUGAGGCCGGUUAUCGGAAUGGGUACAAUUUAAACCCUUUAACGAGGAUCUAUGAGAGGGCAAGUCUGGUGCCAGCAGCCGCGGUAAUUCCAGCUCUCAAAGUGUAUAUCGUCAUUGCUGCGGUUAAAAAGCUCGUAGUUGGAUCUGCGCCUCAGGACUCGGUCCGCCCACUGGGUGUGAACUGGGCUCCUAGGCUAAUACUGCUGGUUUUCCUUUCGUGGCCUUCACUGGUUGCGUUGGGUGGCUAGCGAGUUUACUUUGAAAAAAUUAGAGUGCUUAAAACAGGCUAUUGCCUGAAUACUCGUGCAUGGAAUAAUAGAAUAGGACCUCGGUUCUAUUUUGUUGGUUUUCUGAACUGAGAUAAUGGUUAAGAGGGACAGACGGGGGCAUUCGUAUCGCUGCGUGAGAGGUGAAAUUCUUGGACCGCAGCGAGACGCCCUACUGCGAAAGCAUUUGCCAAGAAUGUCUUCAUUAAUCAAGAACGAAAGUCAGAGGUCCC